AACGAACGCUGGCGGCAUGCCUAACACAUGCAAGUCGAACGAUACCUUCGGGUCUAGUGGCGCACGGGUGCGUAACGCGUGGGAACCUGCCCUUAGGUUCGGAAUACCUCCCCGAUAGGGUUGCUAAUACCGUAUAAUUUCUUCGGACCAAAGAUUUAUCGCCUUUGGAUGGGCCCGCGUUGGAUUAGCUAGUUGGUAGGGUAAAAGCCUACCAAGGCGACGAUCCAUAGCUGGUCUGAGAGGAUGAUCAGCCACACUGGGACUGAGACACGGCCCAGACGCCUACGGGAGGCAGCAGUGGGGAAUAUUGGACAAUGGGCGAAAGACUGAUCCAGCAAUGCCGCGUGAGUGAUGAAGGCCUUAGGGUUGUAAAGCUCUUUUACCCGGGAUGAUAAUGACAGUACCGGGAGAAUAAGCUCCGGCUAACUACGUG
This 433-nucleotide ribosomal RNA is filed under the name uncultured bacterium. Its description in RNAcentral is "partial 16S ribosomal RNA". It matches the Rfam family "Bacterial small subunit ribosomal RNA", at positions 29 to 507 of the family's 1533-position model. The record is from RNAcentral.